UUCGCAAUGCCCGAAAGGGUGACGAAGCGACGCCGCGUGGGUGAGGAAGGCCUUCGGGUUGUAAAACCCUGUCAGGAGUUAAGAAAUGUAAGUGCGCUAAUAUCGCAUUUACUUGACGAAGGCUCCAAAGGAAGCCACGGCUAACUCUGUGCCAGCAGCCGCGGUAAUACAGAGGUGGCAAGCGUUGUUCGGAAUUAUUGGGCGUAAAGAGCACGUAGGUGGAUUUGCAAGUCAGAUGUGAAAGCCUUCUGUUCAACGGAAGAAUUGCAUCUGAAACUGCAAACCUUGAGUGUAGGAGGGGAGAAUGGAACUUCUGGUGGAGCGGUGAAAUGCGUAGAUAUCAGAAGGAACGCCGGCGGCGAAAGCGAUUCUCUGGCCUAUUACUGACACUCAGUGUGCGAAAGCUAGGGGAGCAAACGGGAUUAGA
RNAcentral lists this ribosomal RNA (427 nucleotides) under uncultured Candidatus Scalindua sp. RNAcentral's name for it is "bacterial SSU rRNA". It matches the Rfam family "Bacterial small subunit ribosomal RNA", at positions 365 to 782 of the family's 1533-position model. The record is from RNAcentral. Lineage: Bacteria; Pseudomonadati; Planctomycetota; Candidatus Brocadiia; Candidatus Brocadiales; Candidatus Scalinduaceae.